UCCUCAGCAUGGAAUCGAUAAAUUUGAAAAUAAAUAAUCAAUAAAUAAAGCACGAAGUUGUGUCCAAGAUACGUUUUAUAAUACGGAAGCUACUGCAGCAACUAACGCUGCACCUCGACCACUGCCGUCUUCGGACAACAUCAAAUCGAACUGAAAAUGA
Molecule: long non-coding RNA, 160 nt
Organism: Fopius arisanus
Lineage: Eukaryota; Metazoa; Arthropoda; Insecta; Hymenoptera; Braconidae
Exons: 2
Source: RefSeq, a predicted model, not a curated record